GGGGGUGCCAGGCAUCGAUAAUAAAGUUCAUUAAAAAUAUUCAGGACGCGCAUUUUGGGAUGGCGCGCUAAUCUUAUCUCAAAAACAAUAAGUGCAAAUACAAUUGCCAGCAAAGUAACAGCUGCUUAUAACGCGGUGAAAACUGCCUUUAGCAUGCCUAACUUUGCUUAUGUUGCGGUUUAGUAAUAAACUGCAACCAUCUGUCUUAGUGAGUCUUCAUAGCUAAAAACAGGUGUUAUGCCUCGCGUCUUUUAGAUGCGUGGUAUGAAGAUAGAUUUAUAAGAUGUCCUUGCUUGUAAAUUGAAAAUUUAAGGAAUAGUUGUUAUUCUUUUUGCCUGAUUUUUUAGAAUAGCGGUGAAAAUUUAAAUCAGGACAUUUCUGUAAAAAUAUUUUUAAGACUUUAUUAGACGCGGGUUCAACUCCCGCCAUCUCCAC
RNAcentral lists this transfer-messenger RNA (435 nucleotides) under Patescibacteria group bacterium. It matches the Rfam family "transfer-messenger RNA". From Rfam's summary of the family: Bacterial tmRNA, also known as 10Sa RNA or SsrA, is named for its dual tRNA and mRNA-like properties. Its role is to liberate the mRNA from a stalled ribosome. The record is from RNAcentral.